RNAcentral lists this long non-coding RNA (487 nucleotides) under Homo sapiens (human). Its description in RNAcentral is "HSALNT0155353". The record is from RNAcentral. Lineage: Eukaryota; Metazoa; Chordata; Mammalia; Primates; Hominidae.
GUUAAAUGUUUAUUAAAUACUUUAGUCUGGUACAUGUACAUAGCACUUAGAAAAUGCAUCAUAAUCUGGAAGUCACAAAUAUAGACAAAAACAUUGUUACCCCUUAACCGGUUUAUUUUGGGGCAGCAGAUCUAAGGACACGCCUGGCAGCAUUAUGAACAGCAGUGGCACCAAGGGCAACUGUAGGGGGUUAAUGUGGACCCUGCAUCAUUCCUUGCCAUGUGCCUGGUGCUUGUGACUAAAUUCACUAAUUUCACUGGCUGUCAAGGCUGUGUUAAGGAAAAUGGGUUUGAACUGCUGUGGGUUUUGAGUACUGGACUGGAUGUCAGAAACCUUUGCCAUCACGGGAAAUUCUGUCACUCUGGAUUUACUGUCUGUUCCCCACAGCUAAAUUCCUCUGCAGUGUGAUUUAGCACCCUGGAUCCCCAUCAACCAGUUUUGGCAUUUAUUUGAAUGCAUUACCCCACUGGUUUCCAUAAACUAUUUU